RNAcentral lists this ribosomal RNA (400 nucleotides) under uncultured bacterium. RNAcentral's name for it is "bacterial SSU rRNA". It matches the Rfam family "Bacterial small subunit ribosomal RNA", at positions 355 to 752 of the family's 1533-position model. The record is from RNAcentral.
UGAGGAAUAUUGGUCAAUGGGCGCAAGCCUGAACCAGCCAUGCCGCGUGCAGGAUGACGGUCCUAUGGAUUGUAAACUGCUUUUGUACGGGAAGAAACCCUCCUACGUGUAGGAGCUUGACGGUACCGUAAGAAUAAGGAUCGGCUAACUCCGUGCCAGCAGCCGCGGUAAUACGGAGGAUCCAAGCGUUAUCCGGAAUCAUUGGGUUUAAAGGGUCUGUAGGCGGUCUUGUAAGUCAGUGGUGAAAGCCCAUCGCUCAACGGUGGAACGGCCAUUGAUACUGCUGGACUUGAAUUAUUGGGAAGCAACUAGAAUAUGUAGUGUAGCGGUGAAAUGCUUAGAGAUUACAUGGAAUACCAAUUGCGAAGGCAGGUUGCUACCAAUGGAUUGACGCUGAUGG